This is a long non-coding RNA of Nycticebus coucang (slow loris), 1122 nucleotides long. RefSeq lists it as uncharacterized. The record is from RefSeq and is a predicted model, not a curated record. The transcript is spliced from 3 exons. NCBI's taxonomy places the organism in Eukaryota, Metazoa, Chordata, Mammalia, Primates, Lorisidae.
GUGGCUUCCCCUGGCUCUUCAGCUUUUAGUUCAUGUUACUUUCUCAGAGAUGCCACAUCUGGCACAAGAGGAGGCUGUUUCAUCAGGGUUUAUGGAAUGAAUAAGUGAUUAUGGUGCUGAAGGUGGUGAGGCGUUUGAAGAAUGCAGCGAAAUGCCUGAUAAAUGGUGGGAGCUGUGACUGUUGACUUGCUCUACGCCCAGAGCAAUUCAGAAACAAUCUGGUUUUCUCUUUUUUCUUUUUUUGAGACUUCUCCGGUUUGACACAAGGAUAAGAACCUGAAAUAAUCUUUAGCCACACAUGAAAAGUCAGCUUUGGUUGUAUCCAGUGGGAAUACAGAAGAAGUCACAUGUAUUUUUGGUUGAGAAAAACAAACUGGAUUGGACAAUAACAUUCCUAUUUGCCACUUCUCAUGAUUUUGCCUGGACUCCCACACAGACAGACUGAAAAAUAACAGAUCGGGGAGUGUGCAAAGCUAGUGAGUGGCGGAUCUGGGAUUGAGAAGGAGUCGUCAUCUUUUAAAGUUCUCCGAACAAAUAUGGCAACUUUCUCCUACCACUGCCCAUUUAUUUUAGCAGAGCACAUCUGCAGCGUGUGCUCAGAAUGAAGCCUUUAUCACAGCUGCGCACUUUCCAGGAGGGGGAAGACAACCACGUGAGAAUAUCUCUGCUAUUUUAAGUGCUAAGUAGAUAGGUUUUUGUUUCUUUUCCAGAAAAACAAAAUAAUUAUGUUUUCAUCAGGUAUUUUAAUGGUGUAAAGAUUUUGAAACAUGGGCAAUACUCUCAUAUCCACCUGGACUUCUAAACACAGCCAGACCUGGAGAUGUGUGAAGUUGGCUGACCAUGAACUACUUGGCUGCCCAGUGGUCAGGCCUGGGCAGCUGGAGGAGCUGUGCUGGGCGGCUCUUUCUCCGCUUCCCUCAGUCAGCCGUUCUGUGCUGUGUGAGCGCCCUGCCAUGCAGGCACAGAAGCCAAAAUGAUGGCGCUGAGUUUAGAGAAAAGAAAAAGUUUAUUGUAAGUCAACCAGCAGGAAUACAGGAGGCAAAGCUGAAGUCUAUCUGCCCAUCCUGGGGUUGGGAUAAGUUUUAUGAGUGACGGAGGGCAGGUUGUUACGAUUCCUGCAUG